GAAUUCGAUUCGGUGUGACAAGGCCGGGAACGUAUUCACCGCAGCGUGCUGAUCUGCGAUUACUAGCGAUUCCAACUUCAUGUGCUCGAGUUGCAGAGCACAAUCCGAACUGAGACGGGCUUUUUCAGAUUUGCGCAGGAUUGGUCCAUUGCAUCCCAUUGUCACCGCCAUUGUAGCACGUGUGUAGCCCAGCCCGUAAGGGCCAUGAGGACUUGACGUCAUCCCCACCUUCCUCGCGGCUUAUCACCGGCAGUCCCCUUAGAGUGCCCAACUAAAUGAUGGCAACUAAGGGCGAGGGUUGCGCUCGUUGCGGGACUUAACCCAACAUCUCACGACACGAGCUGACGACAGCCAUGCAGCACCUGUCUCCGGUCCAGCCGAACUGAAGGGAUCCAUUUCUGGUUCCCGCGACCGGGAUGUCAAGGGCUGGUAAGGUUCUUCGCGUUAAUCACUA
Molecule: ribosomal RNA, 454 nt
Filed under: uncultured soil bacterium
Lineage: Bacteria
Description: partial 16S ribosomal RNA
Source: RNAcentral